This 979-nucleotide ribosomal RNA is filed under the name uncultured bacterium. RNAcentral's name for it is "bacterial SSU rRNA". It matches the Rfam family "Bacterial small subunit ribosomal RNA", at positions 50 to 1054 of the family's 1533-position model. The record is from RNAcentral.
AACACAUGCAAGUCGAGGGGCAGCGGGAGUGCUUGCACUCGCCGGCGACCGGCGCACGGGUGCGGAACGCGUAUGGAAUCUACCUCUUUCUGGGGAAUAGCCCAUGGAAACGUGGAUUAAUACCCCAUAGUAUGCAGAGAUCGCAUGAUCUCUGUCUUAAAGCUUUGGCGGAAAGAGAUGACCAUGCGUAUCAUUAGCUAGUAGGUGAGGUAACGGCUCACCUAGGCAACGAUGAUUAGGGGUCCUGAGAGGGAGAUCCCCCACACUGGUACUGAGACACGGACCAGACUCCUACGGGAGGCAGCAGUGAGGAAUAUUGGACAAUGGUCGAAAGACUGAUCCAGCCAUGCCGCGUGCAGGAUGAAUGCCCUAUGGGUUGUAAACUGCUUUUAUACGGGAAGAACACCACCCACGUGUGGGUGACUGACGGUACCGUAAGAAUAAGGACCGGCUAACUCCGUGCCAGCAGCCGCGGUAAUACGGAGGGUCCAAGCGUUAUCCGGAAUCAUUGGGUUUAAAGGGUCCGUAGGCGGGCUAUUAAGUCAGAGGUGAAAGUUUGCAGCUCAACUGUAAAAUUGCCUUUGAUACUGGUAGUCUUGAGUUAUAGUGAAGUGGUUAGAAUAUGUGGUGUAGCGGUGAAAUGCAUAGAUAUCACAUAGAAUACCAAUUGCGAAGGCAGAUCACUAACUAUAUACUGACGCUGAUGGACGAAAGCGUGGGGAGCGAACGGGAUUAGAUACCCCGGUAGUCCACGCCGUAAACGAUGGAUACUAGCUGUUGGAUUUUUUCAGUGGCUAAGCGAAAGUGAUAAGUAUCCCACCUGGGGGAGUACGUUCGCAGAUGAAACUCAAGGAUUGACGGGGGCCCGCACAGCGUGAGCAUGUGUUUAUCGAUGAUACGCGAAGACCUACAGGCUAAAUGGAAAUGACAGGGCAGAGACGCCCCUCCUCCGACAUUUUCAGUGCUGCAUGUGUCGUCG